Molecule: ribosomal RNA, 443 nt
Filed under: uncultured bacterium
Lineage: Bacteria
Description: partial 16S ribosomal RNA
Rfam family: Bacterial small subunit ribosomal RNA
Source: RNAcentral
CCUACGGGUGGCAGCAGUGGGGAAUAUUGGUCAAUGGGCGUAACCCUGAUCCAGCGACGUCGCGUGAGUGAAGAAGUAUCUCGGUAUUUAAAGCUCUGUCAGUAGGGAAGAAAGAAAUGACGGUACCUGACCAAGAAGCCGCGGCUAACUACGUGCCAGCAGCCGCGGCAAUACGUAGGGGGCAAGCGUUAUCCGGAAUUACUGGGUGUAAAGGGAGCGUAGACGGUGAUGCAAGUCUGGAGUGAAAUGCCGGGGCCCAACCCCGGAACUGCUCUGGAAACUGUGAAGCUGGAGUGCAGGAGAGGUAAGCGGAAUGCCUGGUGUAGCGGUGAAAUGCGUAGAUAUCAGGAGGAACACCGGCGGCGAAGGCGGCUUACUGGACUGUAACUGACGUUGAGGCUCGAAGGCGUGGGGAGCAAACAGGAUUAGAUACCCCAGUAGUC